CCGACCUUAGCUCAGUUGGAAGAGCGCGAGACUGUAAUGGGAACGAUUGCUUGAAUAAUCUUGAGGUCGCCUGUUCGAGCCAGGCAGGUCGGA
Leucogyrophana mollusca is the source of this 93-nucleotide non-coding RNA. The record is from the annotation of a GenBank genome assembly. NCBI's taxonomy places the organism in Eukaryota, Fungi, Basidiomycota, Agaricomycetes, Boletales.